GUCUUUUUGAUAUUAAUUUAAAGUCUGGCCUGCCCAGUGAAUUUUUAACGGCCGCGGUAUUUUGACCGUGCUAAGGUAGCAUAAUCAUUAGUUUCUUAAUUGGGAGCUGGAAUGAAGGGUUUGAUGAAAAAGUGACUGUCUCUAUUUAAUUUUUAAAGAAUUUUAUUUUUAAGUAAAAAAGCUUAGAUAUUCUUAAAAGACGAGAAGACCCUAUAGAGUUUUAUGAAAUGAAUAAUUUUUAGGUUGGAAAUUUAUAUUUGGGUUAGGGAAUUUUAUUUGAUUGGGGUGAUUGGAAAAUUUAAGGAACUUUUUUAUUUGAGAUACAUAAAUUAAUGAGUAUUUGAUCCAUUUUUAGUGAUUAAUAGAUUAAAUUACCUUAGGGAUAACAGCGUAAUUUUACUUGAAAGUUCACAUUAAAAGUAAAGCUUGCGACCUCGAUGUUGGAUUAAAAUUAAUGUUGGUGUAGGAGCUAAUAGAUUUUGGUCUGUUCGACCAUUAAAAUUUUACAUGA
This 511-nucleotide ribosomal RNA is filed under the name Phryneta leprosa. RNAcentral describes it as "partial large subunit ribosomal RNA". It matches the Rfam family "Bacterial large subunit ribosomal RNA", at positions 1819 to 2603 of the family's 2925-position model. The record is from RNAcentral. Lineage: Eukaryota; Metazoa; Arthropoda; Insecta; Coleoptera; Cerambycidae.